CUCCCCUUGGUGUAGUUGGUUYAUCACGUUCGACUGUAAUGGUUACAUUGUCAUCGAAAGGUCUCUAGUUCGAUUCUGGAAGGGGAGA
Molecule: transfer RNA, 88 nt
Filed under: Colletotrichum higginsianum
Lineage: Eukaryota; Fungi; Ascomycota; Sordariomycetes; Glomerellales; Glomerellaceae
Description: tRNA CH063_16471
Rfam family: tRNA
About the family: Transfer RNA (tRNA) molecules are approximately 80 nucleotides in length. Their secondary structure includes four short double-helical elements and three loops (D, anti-codon, and T loops). Further hydrogen bonds mediate the characteristic L-shaped molecular structure. tRNAs have two regions of fundamental functional importance: the anti-codon, which is responsible for specific mRNA codon recognition, and the 3' end, to which the tRNAs corresponding amino acid is attached (by aminoacyl-tRNA synthetases). tRNAs cope with the degeneracy of the genetic code in two manners: having more than one tRNA (with a specific anti-codon) for a particular amino acid; and 'wobble' base-pairing, i.e. permitting non-standard base-pairing at the 3rd anti-codon position.
Source: RNAcentral